GACGGGACCCGCACAAGCGGUGGAUGAUGUGGUUUAAUUCGAUGCAACGCGAAAACCUUACCACCUUUGACAUGGCAGGAAUCCCGAAGAGAUUUGGGAGUGCUCGAAAGAGAACCUGCACACAGGUGCUGCAUGGCUGUCGUCAGCUCGUGUCGUGAGAUGUUGGGUUAAGUCCCGCAACGAGCGCAACCCUUGUCUUUAAUUGCCAUCAUUUAGUUGGGCACUUUAAAGAGACUGCCGGUGUUAAGCCGGAGGAAGGUGGGGAUGACGUCAAGUCCUCAUGGCCUUUAUGCCCAGGGCUACACACGUGCUACAAUGGGCGGUACAGAGGGUAGCCAACCCGCGAGGGGGAGCCAAUCCCACAAAGCCGGUCGUAGUCCGGAUCGCAGUCUGCAACUCGACUGCGUGAAGUCGGAAUCGCUAGUAAUCGCGGAUCAGCAUGUCGCGGUGAAUACGUUCCCGGGUCUU
Molecule: ribosomal RNA, 468 nt
Filed under: uncultured Propionivibrio sp.
Lineage: Bacteria; Pseudomonadati; Pseudomonadota; Betaproteobacteria; Rhodocyclales; Rhodocyclaceae
Description: bacterial SSU rRNA
Rfam family: Bacterial small subunit ribosomal RNA
Source: RNAcentral